This 71-nucleotide transfer RNA is filed under the name Pteropus alecto (black flying fox). It matches the Rfam family "tRNA". Rfam says of the family: Transfer RNA (tRNA) molecules are approximately 80 nucleotides in length. Their secondary structure includes four short double-helical elements and three loops (D, anti-codon, and T loops). Further hydrogen bonds mediate the characteristic L-shaped molecular structure. tRNAs have two regions of fundamental functional importance: the anti-codon, which is responsible for specific mRNA codon recognition, and the 3' end, to which the tRNAs corresponding amino acid is attached (by aminoacyl-tRNA synthetases). tRNAs cope with the degeneracy of the genetic code in two manners: having more than one tRNA (with a specific anti-codon) for a particular amino acid; and 'wobble' base-pairing, i.e. permitting non-standard base-pairing at the 3rd anti-codon position. RNAcentral also lists the same sequence under 1 other name. Lineage: Eukaryota; Metazoa; Chordata; Mammalia; Chiroptera; Pteropodidae. The record is from Rfam by way of RNAcentral.
GGUUCUAUAGUGUAACUUAGCACAUCUGCUUUACACAUAGAAGGUCCUGGGUUCGCGCCCCAGUGGAGCCA